This 610-nucleotide ribosomal RNA is filed under the name uncultured Bacillus sp. RNAcentral describes it as "bacterial SSU rRNA". It matches the Rfam family "Bacterial small subunit ribosomal RNA", at positions 1 to 574 of the family's 1533-position model. The record is from RNAcentral. Lineage: Bacteria; Bacillati; Bacillota; Bacilli; Caryophanales; Bacillaceae.
GUACGCGCGGAUCUUCCAGAGAUUAGAGUUUGAUCCUGGCUCAGGAUGAACGCUGGCGGCGUGCCUAAUACAUGCAAGUCGAGCGAAUGGAUUAAGAGCUUGCUCUUAUGAAGUUAGCGGCGGACGGGUGAGUAACACGUGGGUAACCUGCCCAUAAGACUGGGAUAACUCCGGGAAACCGGGGCUAAUACCGGAUAACAUUUUGAACCACAUGGUUCGAAAUUGAAAGGCGGCUUCGGCUGUCACUUAUGGAUGGACCCGCGUCGCAUUAGCUAGUUGGUGAGGUAACGGCUCACCAAGGCAACGAUGCGUAGCCGACCUGAGAGGGUGAUCGGCCACACUGGGACUGAGACACGGCCCAGACUCCUACGGGAGGCAGCAGUAGGGAAUCUUCCGCAAUGGACGAAAGUCUGACGGAGCAACGCCGCGUGAGUGAUGAAGGCUUUCGGGUCGUAAAACUCUGUUGUUAGGGAAGAACAAGUGCUAGUUGAAUAAGCUGGCACCUUGACGGUACCUAACCAGAAAGCCACGGCUAACUACGUGCCAGCAGCCGCGGUAAUACGUAGGUGGCAAGCGUUAUCCGGAAUUAUUGGGCGUAAAGCGCGCGCAG